This 496-nucleotide ribosomal RNA is filed under the name uncultured bacterium. RNAcentral's name for it is "partial 16S ribosomal RNA". It matches the Rfam family "Bacterial small subunit ribosomal RNA", at positions 28 to 507 of the family's 1533-position model. The record is from RNAcentral.
GAUGAACGCUGGCGGCGUGCCUAAUACAUGCAAGUCGAGCGAACAGACGAGGAGCUUGCUCCUUCGACGUUAGCGGCGGACGGGUGAGUAACACGUAGGUAACCUACCUAUAAGACUGGGAUAACUUCGGGAAACCGGAGCUAAUACCGGAUAUAUUUCGAAACGCAUGGUUCGAUAGUGAAAGAUGGCUUUGCUAUCACUUAUAGAGUGACCUGCGCCGUAUUAGGUAGUUGGUAAGGUAACGGCUUACCAAGGCAACGAUACGUAGCCGACCUGAGAGGGUGAUCGGCCACACUGGAACUGAGACACGGUCCAGACUCCUACGGGAGGCAGCAGUAGGGAAUCUUCCGCAAUGGGCGAAAGCCUGACGGAGCAACGCCGCGUGAGUGAUGAAGGUCUUCGGAUCGUAAAACUCUGUUAUUAGGGAAGAACAAACGUGUAAGUAACUGUGCACGUCUUGACGGUACCUAAUCAGAAAGCCACGGCUAACUACGUG